UUGGAGUCUGCAACCCGACUCCAUGAAGCUGGAUUCGCUAGUAAUCGCGCAUCAGCCACGGCGCGGUGAAUACGUUCCCGGGCCUUGUACACACCGCCCGUCAAGCCAUGGAAGCCGGGAGUGCCUGAAGUGCGUGACCGCAAGGAGCGCCCUAAGGCAAUACCGGUGACUGGGGCUAAGUCGUAACAAGGUACC
Molecule: ribosomal RNA, 195 nt
Filed under: uncultured bacterium
Lineage: Bacteria
Description: partial 16S ribosomal RNA
Rfam family: Bacterial small subunit ribosomal RNA
Source: RNAcentral